AGACUACUCUUAUGAAGAUCUUAUUGAUUUAAACUAAAAGCUGUCAAAUUUUAAAUUUUCUUAAAAUCUUCCCUGAAAAUAAUACAGACUAUUAUUUUACAGGCUUUACAGGGUUCACUUGUUGAACGUUGAUUGUUUCUCUUUAGACACUGUGGUGCCCUCUAGUGUUAAGGAGACACUAACACUUCAGCUCUAUGUACUGUACGUGGGCUACUGUAUAAUAAUCACUUCAUUCUCUGUCUUACUGGCAGCUGCUUGGGUAGAUUGUGUUUGAGGAGACACUCAGUCUGAGCUCACGGCUAAAUCAUGGAUCAGAAGCCCACUUCACCCCAGAGACAUGCGGUGAAAAGCAGGUCAAAGUCUACAGAGGAAGUCCAGCAAGCUAAAAAGGUGGAGACAACCUCUACAUCAACAAAUGAAUGUAUAAUUGAUAGUUGCAUACAUAAAAAUGCACUUCUACUUUCCUUCAGCUGAUUUUUUAUUUUAUUUUUUAAUCUGGUGAAGUUAACACUCCAAUUGGAUGCUCAAUUAAAUUUUUGCCACUAUUUUGGAAGGACAAAAUGAUUUUUGAUAUCAGUUCAAAGAGACUCAAAAGUUAUUUGAACCUUUGACAUGUUUAUUGCAGCUAUUUGAAUAAUUAAACAUCUGGUUUGAUGCAUCAGACAUUUAAAGGAAAAAAUGUUCCCUUGAGUAUUGAGGAUUAUUAACAACAGUGCUGCAAGAACGCUUGUUUAUGGACCACUAUGCAAUGCACUGCCAAGCAUUAUUUGAUUGAAUAACUAUUUGAUUAAUGUUAGGCCUUCCACAUACCCCAGAAAUCACUGCCUGGAGGGUCAGAGCUGGAAAAGGUGAAGGUGAGUGUUGACUUUGUGUGUCAUGACUGAAUGUUAUUAUAAUGAUAGCAAAAAAAAAAAAAAAAAAACUGCUUAAAGAUUUGAGAAAUAAAUGAUUCUGACUAGAAAACAAACAAACAAAUAAUUGAUUUAGUUGAAAAAUAAAUAUUUUGCAUAUGUGCAUUUGGCAUAAACUUUUUAUAUAUAAAUACAUUUGCAAAUUAAGUUAAAUGUAAUCUUUCUUUUUUUAGUUAAAAUAAUUCACUAUAAUAAUUUCUAGCAAAUUAGGGCUUUUUAUUAAAGGCUAUUUCAUUAGAUUGGAAUAUAGAUUGGAUAUUAAAUAUUUUAUAUAGAACAGAAUAAUUAAUAUAAAAAUAUAUCUAGCAUGAUAUAAAACCGUGUGUCUAUCUCUUGGUUCUGUAUGUUUCAGGAAGGACCAGAAGAAAAUGUGACUCCAGCAUCAUCCACAGAAGAGCUGAAGUGAUGCAGCCAUUCAUCUGUGUUUAUCUCACACACAAACACACACAUAAAGAUAAAUGCUUGUUUUUAUAUAUAAACAAGGUUUGAUUUAAAGUAUUAGCUCUUUCUUUUGUAAGGUGAUUUUCAGUACAGCUCAACACACGCAGAAACACGAAACACGUCGACCUGAAGCAUGUUAAGUCUGUCUGCGCUGCAUCUCUGUACACUGACAUGCUGUUUAUAUAAACUCAGUGCUUUCACUAUGAACAUCAGGGCAUGUGUGCUUUCACAUUUAAAGAAGCUCAAGCGAAAUUAGAUCAGUGGUUUGAUUAAAAUUGGAACUUUGUGGCUUUUUAGUCUAUAGCUUUGAGCUCGUCCAUAGAUAGAGUGAAAAUGCUAAUUACUUUUUUUGUGUGUGUGAAUAGUAUCUUUCUUUUAUUACCCAAUCAUAAUUUCUGCACAACCAGCAGAUGGUGUCAAUGUGUAAAUUUUGGCUGUCAUAUUAAUAGUUUUGAUGUUUGACAUUAUAAAUCUACAGAUACCCUAAGGGACUUGUUGAUGGAAAAAAUCUGAGAUGAAAGAAUUACAUUGCUUUUGUACUGAAUGCGUUUGCAUAUUGCAUUACAAAAGUGACAGAAAGCAAAGUUAGCAAGCGAACAUAAUCACGAUUUGCAAUUUUUUCCCUCACAUAUCAAAAUGAGUAAAUGCUUUUUUCUAUUUGAUAAAAACACUUACUGCGGGCUUGUUUCUACAAUGGGAUGUUUGUAGUACACUCCAGCUCUCAUGUUUUUGGGCCCAUGUGAGUCAAAUAGUGUUAAAUACUCAUCCGGCGACAUAUUUAUUGGCAUCAGCUGAAUCACAGAGCUGACAUACUGUAUGAGUCAGCUUAAGAUGUUGUGUAAGUGUUUAUAGUACAGUUUAAACCAUUUGUGCUAAUAAACUUUUGACCACUCAUCAUGCUAAAGUUCAGUGACUGAGUGAAUUUCAGAAACAGGAGUCACUCUCACAGCUGUAAACAAGAUACAUGAAGACUGUGCAGUCUGUUUAGUGCAAGCAAUUUGAGAGCAAAGUAAAAUUAAACUACCAUCAACAAAUGAUAAGAUGCGUUUUCUGAUAUUUACUUCCCUCUUAGGUCAUCUAGGAUGUAGAUGAGUUUGUUUCUUAAAGGGGGGGUGAAAUGCUAUUUCAUGCAUACUGAGUUUUUUACACUGUUAAAGAGUUGGAUUCCCAUGCUAAACAUGGACAAAGUUUCAAAAACUAAGUUGUACGUUUGAAGCAGUAUUUUUGUUCCAGAAAUACUCCUUCCGGUUUGUCACAAGUUUCGGAAAGUUUUUUUCGAGUAUGGCUCUGUGUGACGUUAGAUGGAGCGGAAUUUCCUUAUAUGGGUCCUGAGGGCACUUCUGCCGGAAGAGCGUGCGCUCCCGUAGAGCAGAGCACUGACUGAGAGCACAACAGACUUCACUGAUCAGAGCGAGAGAGUCGCGAAAUGUCACAAAAGAAGUGUGUUUUUGGUUGCGAGGGCAAGACAAC
This 2822-nucleotide long non-coding RNA is filed under the name Carassius auratus (goldfish). RNAcentral describes it as "lncRNA (ENSCARG00000052943.1)". The record is from RNAcentral. Lineage: Eukaryota; Metazoa; Chordata; Actinopteri; Cypriniformes; Cyprinidae.